AUUGAACGCUGGCGGCGUGCUUAACACAUGCAAGUCGAGCGGAGCGGCGAACGGGUGAGUAACGCGUGAGUAACUGCCCCCCUCUCUGGGAUAACAGUUGGAAACGGCUGCUAAUACCGGAUAGUGGGGGAUGACUCGCGUCCUAUCAGCUUGGUGGUGGGGUAUUGGCAUACCAAGGCGACGACGGGUAGCCGGCCCUAGAGGGCGACAGGCCACAUUGGGCAUAGAUACUGGCCAAACGCCUACGGGAGGCAGCAGUGGGGAAUAUUGCGCAAUGGGGGAAACCCUGAUGCAGCAACGCCGCGUGCGGGAUGACGGCCUUCGGGUUGUAAACCGCUUUCAGCCAUGACGCGGUAGUGGCAGAAGAAGCACCGGCUAACUACGUGCCAGCAGCCGCGGUAAUAC
RNAcentral lists this ribosomal RNA (405 nucleotides) under uncultured bacterium. Its description in RNAcentral is "partial 16S ribosomal RNA". It matches the Rfam family "Bacterial small subunit ribosomal RNA", at positions 29 to 526 of the family's 1533-position model. The record is from RNAcentral.